RNAcentral lists this transfer RNA (72 nucleotides) under Microbacterium sp. AG790. RNAcentral's name for it is "tRNA-Arg". It matches the Rfam family "tRNA". From Rfam's summary of the family: Transfer RNA (tRNA) molecules are approximately 80 nucleotides in length. Their secondary structure includes four short double-helical elements and three loops (D, anti-codon, and T loops). Lineage: Bacteria; Bacillati; Actinomycetota; Actinomycetes; Micrococcales; Microbacteriaceae. The record is from RNAcentral.
CCCUUCAGAGCUCAGUGGAAGCGCGACGGCCUUCUAAUCCGUUGGUCGCAGGUACGAACCCGACCGGAGGGA